Molecule: ribosomal RNA, 492 nt
Filed under: uncultured bacterium
Lineage: Bacteria
Description: partial 16S ribosomal RNA
Rfam family: Bacterial small subunit ribosomal RNA
Source: RNAcentral
AGUGAACGCUGGCGGUAGGCCUAACACAUGCAAGUCGAACGGGAGCACCGUAAGUAGUUGCUCUUACGGGUGGCGAGUGUGGGACGGUUGAGUAAUACUUCGGAAUCUUCUUUUACGGGGGGGCUAACGUAGGGAAAUGUACGCUAAUAACGGAUACGACGUACUGGUGAAAGCAGGGGAUCUUCGAACCUUGCGCUAGUGAAAGAGCCGAUGUCGGAUUAGCUUGUUGGCGGGGUAAAGGCCCACCAAAGAUACGAUCGGUAGCUGGUCUGACAGGAUGAUCAGACACACGGUAAGUGAGACACGUUACAGACUCCUACGGUAGGCAGCAGUGGGGAAUACUGGGCAAGGGGCCAAUGCCUAAUCCUGCAAAACCGCGUAGGUGAAGAAGCCGUACUGGUUGUAAAGCCCUUAAGUUGUGAAAGAAAAGCAGCAGGUUAAUCCCGCGUGAUUAUGACGGUACCCAAAGAAUAAGCACCGGCUAACUUCGUG